CCGUAUUGAUCUCGAUUCUCGUAUUUAUAAUAGGAGGGGUGGUGAGAGAUAUUUUGAGGGAUUCGAAAUUCGAAAUUGAAUUUUGAAUAGGUUGUUGUGGUUGGUUGAAAGAUAUUUGAGAUUGGUUGGAAAUUCAAAAUUCGAAAUCGAAUUUUGAAUGGGUUGUUGGAUGGUUGGAGGAUAUUUUGAGGAUUGAUUCAAAAUUCAAAAUCGAAUUUUGAAUGAGUUGUGGAAGAUAUUUUGGGAGUUAGUUCGAAAUUCGGAAUUCGAAAUCGAAUUUUGAAUAGGUUUUUGGAUGGUUAGAGGAUAUUUUGAGAAUUGAUUCGAAAUUCGAAAUCGAAUUUUGAAUGGGUUGUGAAAAAUAUUUUGGGAGUUGGUUGGAAAUUCGAAAUUCGAAAUCGAAUUUUGAAUGGAUUGUUGGAUGGUUGGAAGAUAUUUUGGGAAUUGGUUAGGGAUUCGAAAUUCGAAAUCGAAUUUUGAAUAGGUUGGUGGGUGGUUGGAAGAUAUUUUGGGAGUUGGUUGGGAAUUCGAAAUUCGAAAUUGAAUUUUAAAUGGGUUAUUGGAUGGUUGGAGGGUAUUUUGGAAAUUGGUUGGAAAUUUGAAAUUCGAAAUCGAAUUUUGAAUGGGUUGUUGGAUGGUUAGGUAUUCAAAAUUCGAAUGAGAGAUAUUUUGGGUGUUGGUUCGAAAGUCGAAAUCGAAUUUCGAAUAGGGUUAUUAGGAUAACAGAUAUUUUCUAGUUGGUUGGGGGUUUAAAAAUUAAAAAUCGAAUUUGAAUAUGAUAUUCGAAAUUGAAUUUUCAAACGUGGGUAAAAAUGUGGGUCGUGAUCCCAUGAAUUGGGCUUAAAUUGGGCCCACUUUGUUGAAAUUUGUUCAGCACGAAUAUUCAUUAGGUUGAGAUGAGGCCCGAAUUUUUGUAUAAGCCUAAAAUCUUAAAGGGUUUUCAUGAGGCCCAUUAAUUCACAUUUAUGAAUGGGCCUAUUAUGGAUUAUAAUUAUUGGCCCCAAAAUUUUAUGGUCAACAUGAGACCUAUUAAGAUUGUGUGAGUCCGAUUUAAUUUUUUGAUUAUGAUUAGGAUUGUUUCAUCCUAUAUAAAUAGUAUAA
Molecule: long non-coding RNA, 1101 nt
Filed under: Ananas comosus (pineapple)
Lineage: Eukaryota; Viridiplantae; Streptophyta; Magnoliopsida; Poales; Bromeliaceae
Description: long non-coding RNA (ACOM_LNC012076)
Source: RNAcentral